Molecule: ribosomal RNA, 507 nt
Filed under: Triticum aestivum (bread wheat)
Lineage: Eukaryota; Viridiplantae; Streptophyta; Magnoliopsida; Poales; Poaceae
Description: partial small subunit ribosomal RNA
Source: RNAcentral
AUGUGCAGGGGGCUCGGGUGCUCACCCAUGGGCCUUGGCCCGUCUACAGAGGGGGUAGAGGCAGGCCGGCCUGGCGGAUGCUGGCUGGGCCAGCUCACGGGAAGUGGUCCAGACGUGACGGCGCGGUCAACGAAGGUUGUCGCGACUGCAGUCCCCUCCUCUCGAACAGAGGCAGGAGCGGGACUGGCGCUGGUCGUCGUCCCCGCACACAGAAGCAGGAGAGGCCGGCGAGGAGGUCUUGGCGGUGCAGCGGGUAAGCUAGGGACGCCGGGAUCUGAUGUAGGCCGGACCCAUCUCGGCCAGAUCGGGUCGAAAACGGGGCGCGGCGGCGAUCUGGAGACGGGGAUGCAAGGCCUUGGCGCGGCUGCAAUGCAAGAAGCAGUAGAAGCAGCUGGCAAAGCGGUUCCGUGGACUUGGCGGGGCGACGGGUCAACGCGGGGUCGAGCGGCGCUCGAUGCAGAGGCAAUGCAGCGGCUGUGGCAGGCGCGAGGUUCACCAGAAGGGUAG